Labeo rohita (rohu) is the source of this 675-nucleotide long non-coding RNA. RefSeq lists it as uncharacterized. Lineage: Eukaryota; Metazoa; Chordata; Actinopteri; Cypriniformes; Cyprinidae. The transcript has 3 exons. The record is from RefSeq and is a predicted model, not a curated record.
AUCUACUACAGUUUUCAGCUCGGACUGAAGUCGAUUCAACUCUGCAGCAUUGCCUUCUCUAGCUGCAGUGACACAAGCUUCAAAAAAGACAGCAACAAACAACUUUAAUAGGCUGCCUGAGCAGUUUCCCAUCCUCCAUUAUGCUGCAGAUAUGCUGGAACAUAUGAUGAGAUGCUGUUUGGAAGCAGAUCUGAAUGAUGCCUGGAAGCAGGUCACAUUGGAUUAGGUUUUGUUCGGGCUGAGCAGUGCUGGAAAAGGCUUCGCUAUACUGUGAUUGCUCCUUCUCAAGUGCUUUCUGGGUUGAAUAAUUUACAUGGCACAAUCUUGGAGCCGGCAGGCUGAAUUUGAUGUAUGUGAUGGGCAAACCCAAGGGCAGCAUAAUAGCAUGCAGGAGAGGCAGAAGAAGUGGAGACAGAGAGGGAUGAGUGAGUAACACCAGAGAGACAAUACGCCUCUGUCUUUCUCGCACAUCAUCCCUCACUGCUUAUCUGCCAAGCGGGGGGACGUGCCUUUUGGACAAGCUUUUGCCGGUUAAAAAAUCUAUCUGACAAGCUGUUUUGGCAUCUCAUACCCCUGGGAUAUAUUACAAUUAAUAAGUAAGGAUGUGAAGGAGAUGUCCAAUGACUGCUGUCAAGCCUUGUUGCAUGUGUAUGUGCCCACAGCUAUGGUAAUAAG